AGUGAACGCUGGCGGUAGGCCUAACACAUGCAAGUCGAACGGCAGCACAGUAAGAGCUUGCUCUUACGGGUGGCGAGUGGCGGACGGGUGAGGAAUACAUCGGAAUCUACUUUUUCGUGGGGGAUAACGUAGGGAAACUUACGCUAAUACCGCAUACGACCUACGGGUGAAAGCAGGGGAUCUUCGGACCUUGCGCGAUUGAAUGAGCCGAUGUCGGAUUAGCUAGUUGGCGGGGUAAAGGCCCACCAAGGCGACGAUCCGUAGCUGGUCUGAGAGGAUGAUCAGCCACACUGGAACUGAGACACGGUCCAGACUCCUACGGGAGGCAGCAGUGGGGAAUAUUGGACAAUAGGCGAAAGCCUGAUCCAGCCAUACCGCGUGGGUGAAGAAGGCCUUCGGGUUGUAAAGCCCUUUUGUUGGGAAAGAAAAGCAGCAGGUUAAUACCCCGCUGUUCUGACGGUACCCAAAGAAUAGGCACCGGCUAACUUCGUG
RNAcentral lists this ribosomal RNA (492 nucleotides) under uncultured bacterium. RNAcentral's name for it is "partial 16S ribosomal RNA". It matches the Rfam family "Bacterial small subunit ribosomal RNA", at positions 29 to 507 of the family's 1533-position model. The record is from RNAcentral.